UGAUGUUCUAUUGUUAUUCUUAUUUAUUGUCAUUUAAUGAUUUAAUCGUGUCAGCGGUGUUAAUGCGGUUAAUGCUGUUUUGUUUCCGAACGAAGAUAAUGUCAUUUGGAAGAAGCUUUUCUGACAAAAAAAGUGUUACCUGCUUUUUCACUAUAAACUUUACAAAAAUGUCUCAAUGGAGCUUUCUUGUAAUCUUUACAUUGAAUAUUAUCUAUCAACAUACAGAAAAUUGAAGAUUUAUUACAAUUCGGUAUUCCAAAGGUGAUGUGGAAGAUGGUAAUAGUGUCAUGGUAUGGAUAAAGUGCAAAUGAAACAUGUUGAAGGAUAUAUGCUAGAGAUUAGUAUCAUUUCUUGGUUGGUUAAUUGGGAACUAACACCCUCACGGAAUUAAUUCUUUAAUGAUAAUUAAAGAAUACAAACUAUGGAGUCACUUCAAUUUUUGAAGACAGUGUCCUCAAAUUGCUGCCGGAACCGAUAAAAUACGACGAUGAGUUUGAGUAAGCAGUUUUGAAAAUCGCCAAAGCUAAUCAGUGUUGAAGAUGCCGAUUGUUACAAUGAUGGAUAAGUGCAUGGCUAAAAUAUGCUGACAAUACAUGUUUUCUAUAAUGUUUAAUGGAUCAUCGUUCAGUACAACUUCGUUUACUGGAUUAAUCAAACAUUUUAAAGUUUUACGUUGGCUUGUAGAUAUCAUCAGAUCAGCAAUGCAGAUAAAUUUGGUUAUUAUUUUGACAAUAUAUUGCUGAGAUAUCUUAAUAAUUUUGCAUUCGCAAUGUGCAUUUACAAAUCAGCCAUUUAUGGCUGUGCUAUGGAUAGGUACAUAAGCGUUCUCUCAGGAAUAAUAGCAAAAGAGCAUUUUUACAUCUCUUGCUAUGAAAUAAAGUUAUUCUUUAUAGAACGCAUAUGUACGUGCAAAUUGUUGUUUUUGUGAUUCGUUUUGUAGGUUACUUUUGUCGAAAUUGUUCGUUGCAUAGGGUGAAAAUGUUGAAAUAAUACAAGUUCAAAAACAAAUUCUACAUAAUUAUUUUAAAGAACGCUGUUUCAUUCUACUUUAAUUAAACCGCACCCAUCACCAAAAACUUCUCUUUUUUAACCAACCCGUGAAUAAAUAAAGAAAAAUUAAAAAUUUAAUUUAGUAUGGUAAAUUUUAAAACAUGGCGUUAAACAUAAACCUGCAUUAGGGCAAUAGUAUUGACUUUCACGUCGUAUCAAAACGGAUCAAACGUAUUCUCUUUUUUAGAUCUCCUGAAAGUCUCAAAGGAGGAUCAUUUCGGGGUGUAUGUGGAGUUGAUAAACUACUAGGGCCAGCUUCUUGUAUAUCAUCAGCGAUGAGUUUCUGUCAGCCAGAUCUGUCAGCCAAUAUCUUGCUACUUCUUAUAAAAAGGUUUUGUACAUUAUUUUUUUUUGUUUAUAAGAUUAUUCUAUAUGAAUUGAAUAGGGCACAAUUUAUCAAGUACCUUGUGAUCCUUUUCGUCCAUUUUUUGGUUUUAUGUAGUAUAGAAUAAUAUGAUGUUACUGAUCUGCUCGAUCAACACCUUUCAUGUACUUAUUGUAUUCUAUUAUACAUGAUGGUUUUUCAACUACGGCUCCUGUUUUCCGAUCUAUUUUGUUUGUCGUUAGCAUUUCAGCUGAAUCAAUUAUAGAAAUGAAUCUACCGAUCUUUUUUUUCAAUCUCUAUCGAUCACCUUUUCUGCGAAAACAGUUUUCUCCACUUUUCAGUUUCAUUUUUUUUCAAAGAAACAGGAAGGUCUCUAUUCUGUCGAAUUAUUCCGCAUAUUCGAAUUUUAUGAUCUAGAAGAAGGUCCGCUGUUGCCCCAAAUUUCAUUACUACAGAAACGGUUGGUUUUGGUCGGGUAAAGUAAUAGCUUCCAAGUACUUAGUAUAGUAAUAUUGAAGGGUGACAAUAUACUGUAAUAAUAUAACCAAUUAGUAUAUAACCAUUAUUUUGAGGAUUUAAAGACUUAUCGUAUUGAAUGUAAGAGAAUGUUAUAAAUGAUAAUAAUAAUAAAUUUAUUUUAGAAAUAUAAAAUAUUAUUUAAUGAUGAAUUCAGUUAUGUAUUAUUGGCCGUGGAUGUUUUCUAUUGUAUAUAAUCCAUGUAAAGUCGAUACGAAGUAAUUUUAAAGACUCCCUAACAGAUAGAUAGGCUCUAAGAGUACGCACUUAAUUUUUAAAUCGGAAUAAACAAAACUGUUUCAGGAAAAACACGUUUAUUUAACACAAAAUAUAUUCGUUAAAAUAUUACAAAACAUAAACUAAAUUCUCAAACAUACUUAAGAACGGUUACUUUGGUUAUUUAAAAAAUUCUGCAGAUUUUCAACUGCGUACUCUUGGAAACCACUGGUUCCAACCAUUCCAUAAAAAUUCGAAUUAGAAUGUAGAUCCAUGUUGCAAGUGGUUUGUAUAAAGAAUAUAACGAAAAAACUUCUAAACUUGCUUUAUUUAAUUUAAUAUGCAGUCAGACCGGUUUCGGGGCUAGCCCCAUCAUCAGUGACAACUAAAUAUAAACGGAGAAAACAUAAAUUAUAAUUAUAAAAAUAUAUAAAAAUGUAUAUGACAAACAUUAGCAAAAAAAAAAAAAAAUAUUUUAACAAAUUAAAACAUGUUAAAAAAUCUAUAAAACUACUCACUGUCAGUGGCAAACUAAAAUUGUAGAACGAAGAUCAUCAAAAGAACAGGGGGAGCAUGUAAAAGCUUGUAUAAGGCUGAAGGCUUUAUAAAGCGGUGAUAAAAAUGUAUAACAAAAUGGCGAAAGUAAAAAAAGGCACGUUUUUU
This 2770-nucleotide long non-coding RNA is filed under the name Onthophagus taurus. Its description in RNAcentral is "uncharacterized LOC111414105". Lineage: Eukaryota; Metazoa; Arthropoda; Insecta; Coleoptera; Scarabaeidae. The record is from RNAcentral.